UAAAGAAUUUGGGUAUGGGAUGGGGAUGCGUUCCAUUAGUUAGUUGGCGGGGUAACGGCCCACCAAGACAACGAUGGAUAGGGGUUCUGAGAGGAAGGUCCCCCACAUUGGAACUGAGACACGGUCCAAACUCCUACGGGAGGCAGCAGUGAGGAAUAUUGGUCAAUGGACGAGAGUCUGAACCAGCCAAGUAGCGUGAAGGAUGACUGCCCUAUGGGUUGUAAACUUCUUUUAUAUGGGAAUAAAAUGUUCCACGUGUGGGAUUUUGUAUGUACCAUAUGAAUAAGGAUCGGCUAACUCCGUGCCAGCAGCCGCGGUAAUACGGAGGAUCCGAGCGUUAUCCGGAUUUAUUGGGUUUAAAGGGAGCGUAGGUGGAUUGUUAAGUCAGUUGUGAAAGUUUGCGGCUCAACCGUAAAAUUGCAGUUGAAACUGGCAGUCUUGAGUACAGUAGAGGUGGGCGGAAUUCGUGGUGUAGCGGUGAAAUGCUUAGAUAUCACGAAGAACUCCGAUUGCGAAGGCAGCUCACUGGACUGCAACUGACACUGAGGCUCGAAAGUGUGGGUAUCAAACAGGAUUAGAUACCCUGGUAGUCCACACAGUAAACGAUGAAUACUCGCUGUUUGCGAUAUACAGCAA
Molecule: ribosomal RNA, 636 nt
Filed under: uncultured bacterium
Lineage: Bacteria
Description: bacterial SSU rRNA
Rfam family: Bacterial small subunit ribosomal RNA
Source: RNAcentral